CCAUUUCAGUGAACUUAAUGAUACUAUUAUGGAAGCUCAACUGAGGACUAGGCAAGUUCCACCUCUACUUCCUAUGAAAGAAGCCGUUGAUCACUAUUUGGAAUCCAAUAAUAGAUUGCUUAUACUGAUGGAAUAACAAAUAUACUGGUAGAAAUGAAUGUUAUAGCACCACAUGCUUUUGUUUCAUAAGUUUGGUUUACCCACAUUGUGAAAAUAUUGUGGGUAAUCAACCAACUUAUGAAGAGUUAGUUGAACGACUUAAUGAUACAACUUCCCGCCUUAAUGCUAUUAACGAACAACUUAGUGUAGUUGUGGAUAUACUUCGUCAUAACAAUUUGAUGGCACCGCCUCCACCACCUCCAACAGACCAAGCUUCAGAUGCAAAUUUAAGAGUCGCCAUCUAUUUCAGUUCGGGAGUCACAAGAUGAUUCUUAGUUUAUUUACACUAAUUUACUAAGGAAUGAACUUUAUGAAGUUUUUUUUAUUUUGGUAGGGGUAACCUUAAAAUGAUAACUUUAUGACUUAUUUUAGUAUUGAACAUUAUAAAGAAUUUUAGCAUUAAACAUUUUAUAA
Long non-coding RNA from Humulus lupulus (European hop), 573 nucleotides. RefSeq lists it as uncharacterized. The transcript has 2 exons. The record is from RefSeq and is a predicted model, not a curated record. Lineage: Eukaryota; Viridiplantae; Streptophyta; Magnoliopsida; Rosales; Cannabaceae.